CACGCCACGAGAGGAGGGAGGCGGCGCGCAUCCAGAUCCAGGCAGCGCGCCGAGGAAGGACAGGCGGUGCUGUUCGCCGGGAGCAGAGGGCGCCGGCGGCUGCGACCACGGGGGCCAGCGGGUCGAGGUUCGUCCGUCCUCUCGCUUACGCUCCGACGGCCCCUACGCACGGAGGGAACGCCCUGCCCGGCGGACGCGCACCACCUGUUCGACCGGUGGCCCAGCCCGCUCCGGUGCCCGAGCGCGCCGCCGUCCUCCGCCACCGCCGAAGUAAGGCAUAGAGAAGAAAGUCCUCUGGUUGAAUUUGUCCAUAGCAUCAUCCAUCCUACCAUUCAACGGCGGCUGCUGCUGCCCCACCGGUGGGUAGGAUGGCUGGUGCUAUGGAUAGCUUCAACCCGAUGUUCGUGACAUACCCCCGUCCGUCGUGAGUCAAGCAGGGAGCCAAUCCUCUGGUUGAAUUUGUCCAUAGCAUCAGCGUCGGCCGUUCAACUGCGGGCGGUGGUAGUUGCUGCCUUUUGGCGCUGGUGCUAUGGAUAAAUCCAACCGGAUGGUUGUGACAUACCCGAUUGAAAGAAGCUUCGAGGCCACGCGAAUACAGGCCGGUGGGAGCAGAGUGCCCUGGCGGUGGCCCUAACUGGUCCAUCGUCGACCGCGAUGGUUGGCAUACCAAUUGAAAGAAGAAGCCUUGCUGAGUUUUUCUACAUCAUACAACCUGCCAUCGACUCUGAUAGGCUCCUUCUGCAGAAAGGGUGAGAUGGAUGUUGCUCUGGAUGGAUGAUUGGACGCAGAUCCCUUUGGUUACCUCAUUCAUUGUUAUUGUAUUCUAAUUUGAAUCUGCCUUGCUCUAACUGAAUAUUCUAUUAUCCACAAAAAAAGUGAAUUUUGUAUAUCAUCAUACAACCUGCCAAUAGACUCUGAUGCUCCUUUUGCAUAAUGUGUAGGUUGGAUGUUGCUGUUGAUGAAUUCCACUGGAUGAUUCAUAUCCGUGUACACCCCAACGCAGUAGUUGCCUGAUUUAUGGUCGUUGGACUCAUGUUGACUCUAGUUUUAAACAAGUUAAAAUCUAGACCUAAUGAAUCCUUCCUUGUUUGUACAGUUCUAAUCCACAUCCAUUGUACCAAGCACCAGUAUCUGGACAUUGCAAAGGUGAUGAAGGGGGAGGGGUGUCUGUACAAUGUCCUGUGACAUGGUUCAUGUGUAUUGGUUGUCUUUUGUCUUUUGAGUUAAUGCUAGAAUUAUUUGUUGCAGCUAACCUGGGGUCUUAUGCAGUUUUGUAAGUGUGCAUGGUUUAGAAGGUCAGAACGCUCCACUAUGUAUGGGAUUUGUACGAUUCUGAACUUAAAGUUCUUUAGAAGUCAGAAAGCUCCACUAUGUAUCAGUAGAAUUGAAAAUCCUCUGGUUGAAUUUGUCCAUAGCAUCAUCCAUCCUACCAUUCAACGGUGGCUGCUGCUGCCCAACGGUGGGUAGGAUGGCUUGUGCUAUGGAUAGCUUCAACCUGAUGUUGGUGACAUACCCCCGUCCGUCGUAAGUCAAGCAGGGAGCCAAUCCUCUGGUUGAAUUUUUCCAUAGCAUCAGCACCGGCCAUUCAACUCUGGUGGUAGUAGUUGCUGCCUUUUGGCGCUGGUGCUAUGGAUAAAUUCAACCGGAUGGUUGUGCAUACCAAUUGAAAGAAGAAGCCUUGCUUAGAGAAUCAGCUGAUAAUCAGUUUGAAGCUGGGAGCCAGUUUUCCGGUUGAGUUUGUAGAGAGCAUCCAUCCAUCCCGCCGUCCAGCUGUGGUAGCUGCUACCUUCUUGCACGAUGAGUAAGAUGGCUGAUGCUCUGGAUAAACUCAACCCGAUGGUUGUGCAUACCCGAGUGAAAGAAUAAGCCUUGCUUAAAGUUAUAAGUGAGCCGACUGUCUGUUUGAAGCAGGGAGUCAUCUCAUCUUGGUCACUUGGUUGAAUUUUCUUAUAUCAUCAUACAGCCUGCCUUUGGACUCGGAUGCUCUUUUUGCAGAAUGGGUAGGUUGGAUGUUGCUGUGGACCAAUUCCACUGGAUGAUUCAUGUUAUUCGUCUACUACUGGACACAGAUCCUCUUAGUUACCUUAUUCAUGGUUCUUGUACUCAUGCUGACUCUAACUGAAUAUUCAAUUAUCUAGAAAAAGAUAGUUGAAAUCUAUACCUAAAUCUUGUUAUUAUUCUUGUUUUUACAGUUUGAAGCUGCAUACAUGAUACCAUGGUUCCAAGGACCAAAAUCUGGACAGUGCAAAACUUUCAACAGGGUUCAUAUGUAUGGGUUGUCUUGCAGGUUCAGUUUGCUGUGGCGAAUUCUUCUAGAAUUUCUUGUGCAAACUUACAGGUUCAGCUCAGAAACUCAUUCAUGCAUGGAAUUUGUACCAUUCUAAACUGAAAAUUUGUAUCUCAAAAUUAUCAAGGGCCAUAUAUAAAAUUAUUUGUUGCUAGAUAAAAAAUUCUUAUUUCCAAAUACAAAAAGCUUGCACAAGAUAUGUUAUUUUGGAAUCAUUGACACAUGAAGUAAGUGCAGUCGUGAAACACUGUUUUUUGAGACCCUCUAUUUCUACUCAGUAUUAGUCUAUGCACAACAAGCUCCUUUGUGCCGCAUGAUAUAAAGAUUGCAUCUCAGAUAUUUGUUUGAGCCAUUUUCCUGUCAGUGGAAUCAUUCAAGUCAGUUGUAAGAUCAUGUUUCUGAAGCUUGGUGCAUUUUAACUUCCUAUACAUGUUUGGUAUGAAAGGAGCUUGACAUUGACCCUUGUCAAUUUUUAGUGACGGCCUUCUAAAUUAGCGCAGCAAAGGAAAAACAUUCUUAUUACUUGCUAGUUAUUGAAAUUUUGUUGAAAGAUGUUGUAUCCGGAAGCGUGUAUAAUUUUCAGUCGAACAGUUUCAUAUUAAAUUUUUGGCAACUGCCAAGAUGUCUUGUAUUUGUAAACAGAGGAUUUAGAUGUUAAUUUAUGUGAAUUGAAUUCUUUUUUUUUUUGAGGAAA
Molecule: long non-coding RNA, 2981 nt
Organism: Triticum aestivum (bread wheat)
Lineage: Eukaryota; Viridiplantae; Streptophyta; Magnoliopsida; Poales; Poaceae
Exons: 2
Source: RefSeq, a predicted model, not a curated record